Vicia villosa (hairy vetch) is the source of this 106-nucleotide small nucleolar RNA. The record is from RefSeq and is a predicted model, not a curated record. Lineage: Eukaryota; Viridiplantae; Streptophyta; Magnoliopsida; Fabales; Fabaceae.
AAUUCGUGAUGUGGGCAUGCUCUCAUUAGCUCCUUAAAUCGCUUCCAUGCUUUGAAGAGAAAUUCACCACUUGUCUGCCUAAAGCAUGUAAUCUGGUUGCUAAAUU